Molecule: small RNA, 29 nt
Filed under: Bombyx mori (domestic silkworm)
Lineage: Eukaryota; Metazoa; Arthropoda; Insecta; Lepidoptera; Bombycidae
Description: ovarian small RNA-26332
Source: RNAcentral
UCAUUCCCAGCCUAGGAUCCCGCAGCAUA